GGGGUUGUGGCUCAGUGCUAUAGUGCUUGCCUAGCAUGUAUGAAUCAUUGGGUUCUAUUCUCAGCAAUGCCU
This 72-nucleotide transfer RNA is filed under the name Marmota marmota marmota (Alpine marmot). It matches the Rfam family "tRNA". Rfam says of the family: Transfer RNA (tRNA) molecules are approximately 80 nucleotides in length. Their secondary structure includes four short double-helical elements and three loops (D, anti-codon, and T loops). Lineage: Eukaryota; Metazoa; Chordata; Mammalia; Rodentia; Sciuridae. The record is from Rfam by way of RNAcentral. RNAcentral also lists the same sequence under 3 other names.